GUUUGAUUAUGGCUCAAGUUGAACGCUGGCGGGAUGCUUUACAUGCAAGUCGAACGCGGCAGCACGGACUCGGUCUGGUGGCGAGUGGCGAACAGGUGAGUAAUGUAUCGGAACGUGCCUAGUGGCGGGGGAUAACUACGCGGCGUAGCUAAUACCGCAUGCGCCCUUCGAGGAAAGCGGGGGACCUUCGGGCCUCGCACUAUUAGAGCGGCGAUAUCGGAUUGGCCUAGUUGGUGGGAGUAACGGCCGCAAGGCGACGAUCCGUAGCUGUGGUUUGAAGGACGACCAGCCACGCUGGGACUGAGACACGGCCCAGACUCCUACGGGAGGGCAGCGAUUAAGAAUUUUGGACAAUGGGAAACCCUGAUCCAGCCAUCCCGCGUGUGCGAUGAAGGCCUUCAGUUUAGCAAAAGCACUUUGGCGGGAAAGAAACGGCACGGGAUAAUACCCGAUGCAACUGACGGUACACCUGCAGAAUAAGCACCGGCUAACUACGUGCCAACGACCGCGGUAAUACGUAAGUGCAAGCGUUAAUCAAGAUUACUGGGCGUAAAGCGUGCGCAGGCGGUUCGGAAAGAAGAUGUGAAAUCCCAGAGCUUAACUGGAACUGCAUUUUUAACUACCGAGCUGAAAUUGUGUCAGAGGAGUGGAAUUCCGCGUGUAGCAGUGAAAUGCGUAGAUAUGCGGAGGAACACGAUGGCGAAGGCGGCCUCCUGGACAGCACUGACGCUCAUGCACGAAAGCGGUAAGAACAAACAGGAUUAGAUACCCUGGUAGUCCACGCCCUAAACGAUUGUCAGCAGCUCUUGAGACCCUUCAGGCCUUGGUAGCGCAAUAACGCGUGAGAUUGACCGCCUGGGGAUACGGUCGCAAGAUUAAAACUCAAAGGAAAUUGACGGGGACCCGCACAAGCGGUGGAUGAUGUGGAUUAAUUCGAUGCAACGCGAAAAACCUUACCGCUGCUCUCGACAUGUCUGGAAUCCCGAAGAGAUUUGGGAGUUAUGAAGAGCCGGUUCUCUGGAGAUGUAACAUGGCUGUCGUCAGCUCGUGUCGUGAGAUGUUGGGUUAAGUCCGCAACGAGCGCAACCCUUGUCAUUAGUUGCUACGAAGGGCACUCUAAUACUGGUUUUCUUUCCGGUGACAAACCGGAGGAAGGUGGGGAUGACGUCGAAGUCCUCAUGGCCCUUAUGGGUAGGGCUUCACACGUCAUACAAUGGUCGGGACAGAGGGUCUUCAACCCGCGAGGGAAUGCGAUCCCAGAAACCCGAUCGUAGUCGGAUCGCAGUCUGCAACUCGACUGCUGCGUGGUGAAUCGCUAGUAAUCGCGGAUCAACGUAAAGUAGGUGAAUGCGCGGUUGAGUCUUAACGACACACCGCCCGUCACAUGCUGGUGGGUUUUGCAGAAGUAGUUAGCUCGCAAUACGAGAGGCGGUACUGUGGGUUCGUAUUCGAAGGUGGUAUGUUACCAAGU
This 1471-nucleotide ribosomal RNA is filed under the name uncultured Bordetella sp. RNAcentral's name for it is "partial 16S-23S ribosomal RNA intergenic spacer". It matches the Rfam family "Bacterial small subunit ribosomal RNA". Lineage: Bacteria; Pseudomonadati; Pseudomonadota; Betaproteobacteria; Burkholderiales; Alcaligenaceae. The record is from RNAcentral.